Triticum aestivum (bread wheat) is the source of this 1243-nucleotide long non-coding RNA. RefSeq lists it as uncharacterized. Lineage: Eukaryota; Viridiplantae; Streptophyta; Magnoliopsida; Poales; Poaceae. The transcript has 4 exons. The record is from RefSeq and is a predicted model, not a curated record.
AACGUCGCAAUUCCUACCCGAGCCACGGAUCAGAUAACGAGUACGGGACGUUACGGAAAAGCUGAGCCGUUUGUUAUCGUGGACACCUCUGUUCCCUUUUCCCCAAGAACACAUCUAUCCCCUUUCCUCUACAAGCGAGCAGCUGGUGGCGGCGGCGCUAGUCUCGGCCACCUGCGGCCAAGGAAAAAUGGAGGAUGCUGGUCUCGAGUUUCUGCUCGUUGCCGUGGACAGGUUCCCGCUGAGGGAGGAGUUCGGGGACAACAUUAAACACCCAGAUCCGGUUCCUCUGGUCUUGUUGCCCACAAGAGAAGCCAACCGUAGCAAUCCUGAAGACUCAGAUGCCUUGUUUAGUUGAGGUCAAUGGGUCAGCGACGAAGGACCUGAAAAGGCACGAGGUGGAGGCCGCCGUCUUCCAAAUUCAUCUCCAACUAGGUCGGCACAGUCAAGUAACAGAGUCAACCCAGAGGCCCCAGGUUGGACAAAAAGCGAUGAUGGAAACUGGAGUGCAGCUUAAUUUGUCUAUAUAUUCUUGCAGUGGAGAAGGUGAUGACCAAACAAGAGGCUGUUGAUGAGAUCACUACUUUUGGAGGUGGCAAUCAGCAAAGUUUAUCCGGGCAUCGUGCAUAGGUGGUGCAAAAAUGGCAUGUGCUGAAGAAAACGAAGGAGACAUUGGGCCCUCUGUACACGAAGAAGAGUGAGUUCCAGGCUGAGUUCCAUGAGGUUGUGAACCACAUGCUAACUGAAGAUGAGUUUGAGACGGCGUUGGCUACGCUGUUAGAUAAGUACGAUCUGAGAAAGCACCCCUACAUGACCCAAAUAUACGACAUCAGAAAGGUGGGCAAAACCAUAUUUCAAGGGUUUUUUCUGUGCCAAGAUGACGAGCAUACAACGCAGUGAGAGCGUUUCCCCAUUUUUGGCUUGUGACAGGGACAGACUAAGCAUUUGCGGAAGAAGAUUGCUUACGAGAUAGUGACAAUGAAAGGGAACAAAGGAGCUAUCCCAGAGUUUCUGUAUGAUGUGAUCGUUGACUGAAGUGGAAGAUAGUAGUAGGUGUAUCUUUUGGCUGUGCGUGUGCUAGGCAGUUGGAUUAACCCGACUAAGUAGUGGGGUCAUUUUGCGGCACAAUCCCUACCAUCUUGUAUUUUGGGAAAACUAUAGUCAUGUCAUAUUUUCCCAGGUGGGAACCUAAUUAGACUAAGUGAAAACUGGUUAUGUUGUGAGACGAAAUGACCAUGUGUCUACA